Molecule: ribosomal RNA, 486 nt
Filed under: uncultured bacterium
Lineage: Bacteria
Description: bacterial SSU rRNA
Rfam family: Bacterial small subunit ribosomal RNA
Source: RNAcentral
AGAGUUUGAUCCUGGCUCAGAGCGAACGCUGGCGGCACGCUUAACACAUGCAAGUCGAACGAAGGCCCGGAGCUUGCUCCGGAUACCUUAGUGGCGGACGGGUGAGUAACGCGUGGGAACAUACCUUACGAUGGGGAAUAACAGUUGGAAACGACUGCUAAUACCGCAUACGCCCUUCGGGGGAAAGGCUUCGGCCGUCGUUUGAGUGUCCCGCGUUCGAUUAGCUAGUUGGUAGGGUAAUGGCCUACCAAGGCAACGAUCGAUAGCUGGUCUGAGAGGACGAUCAGCCACACUGGAACUGAGACACGGUCCAGACUCCUACGGGAGGCAGCAGUAGGGAAUAUUGUGCAAUGGGCGAAAGCCUGACACAGCCAUGCCGCGUGUGUGAAGAAGGCCUUAGGGUUGUAAAGCACUUUCAGUAAGGAAGAAAAAGCCGAAUUAAUAACUCGGUAAUAUGACAUUACUACAGAAGAAGCACCGCUAACU